This 300-nucleotide long non-coding RNA is filed under the name Nicotiana benthamiana. RNAcentral describes it as "long non-coding RNA (NBEN_LNC008371)". Lineage: Eukaryota; Viridiplantae; Streptophyta; Magnoliopsida; Solanales; Solanaceae. The record is from RNAcentral.
UUUUUUUCAUAUUCAUAUUUAUAUCCUCUACAACCAUUGUUGGGACGGACUUUCGUGGAAAAGAAAAAAGACCUUUAUCGGAUUGGAAGCGAUGACUUAAGCCUCUUUCUUCUUCUUUUCUUAUAGGGCGUUUAAAGAGCGUGACUCUUUAGUUUAAUUAAGUUCAAAUUAGUUAAAUUAAAAGGCCCCAUUUGAUUCAAUUCAUGAAUUAGCCCACUAUGAGUCUACUACAUUUUAUUUAUAUAAUAAUUAUAUAUAAUUAGAUAAUAAUAAUAAUUAAGUAUAUCAUUCGUGUCUCUG